GCCAUUGUAGUACAGUGGUAGUACAUCCUUCUAAAGGAAGACCUUGGUUCGAUUCCCAGCAAUGGCA
This 67-nucleotide transfer RNA is filed under the name Clytia hemisphaerica. Its description in RNAcentral is "tRNA-Sup for anticodon CUA". It matches the Rfam family "tRNA". From Rfam's summary of the family: Transfer RNA (tRNA) molecules are approximately 80 nucleotides in length. Their secondary structure includes four short double-helical elements and three loops (D, anti-codon, and T loops). The record is from Rfam by way of RNAcentral. Lineage: Eukaryota; Metazoa; Cnidaria; Hydrozoa; Leptothecata; Clytiidae.